UUAAGAGGUCUUUUUAAGAAGAAAGACACCUAUAUAUACUUUUGUUUUAACGGAUGUGGAAAUUGAAAAAAAUGAGAGAAAGUGAAAGUGGAGAUAGGGGUAGGAGGUUGCCUAUUAGAGAAAGAGUGAAAGUGGAAGAGGACUAGAGUUUUAAAAAAUAAAAAGUAAAAUAGGAAAAGGAAAAAGUAAAAAAAAAUAAGAUUAGAAUUUAGAAAAAAAUUGAAAGGUGAAGGGAGAAGAUGG
RNAcentral lists this long non-coding RNA (243 nucleotides) under Vigna radiata. RNAcentral's name for it is "long non-coding RNA (VRAD_LNC004582)". Lineage: Eukaryota; Viridiplantae; Streptophyta; Magnoliopsida; Fabales; Fabaceae. The record is from RNAcentral.